Molecule: ribosomal RNA, 432 nt
Filed under: uncultured bacterium
Lineage: Bacteria
Description: partial 16S ribosomal RNA
Rfam family: Bacterial small subunit ribosomal RNA
Source: RNAcentral
AACGAACGCUGGCGGCAUGCCUAACACAUGCAAGUCGAACGAGACCUUCGGGUCUAGUGGCGCACGGGUGCGUAACGCGUGGGAACCUGCCCUUAGGUUCGGAAUAACUCCCCGAAAGGGGUGCUAAUACCGGAUAAUGUCUUCGGACCAAAGAUUUAUCGCCUUUGGAUGGGCCCGCGUUGGAUUAGCUAGUUGGUAGGGUAAAAGCCUACCAAGGCGACGAUCCAUAGCUGGUCUGAGAGGAUGAUCAGCCACACUGGGACUGAGACACGGCCCAGACUCCUACGGGAGGCAGCAGUGGGGAAUAUGGGACAAUGGGCGAAAGCCUGAUCCAGCAAUGCCGCGUGAGUGAUGAAGGCCUUAGGUUUGUAAAGCUCUUUUACCCGGGAUGAUAAUGACAGUACCGGGAGAAUAAGCUCCGGCUAACUCCGU